UAGCUCAUUUGGUAGAGCGUGGUGUUUGCAACGCCAGGGUUGUGGGUUCGAUUCCCAC
Molecule: transfer RNA, 58 nt
Filed under: Salmo salar (Atlantic salmon)
Lineage: Eukaryota; Metazoa; Chordata; Actinopteri; Salmoniformes; Salmonidae
Rfam family: tRNA
About the family: Transfer RNA (tRNA) molecules are approximately 80 nucleotides in length. Their secondary structure includes four short double-helical elements and three loops (D, anti-codon, and T loops).
Source: Rfam by way of RNAcentral